Molecule: ribosomal RNA, 253 nt
Filed under: uncultured bacterium
Lineage: Bacteria
Description: partial 16S ribosomal RNA
Rfam family: Bacterial small subunit ribosomal RNA
Source: RNAcentral
UACGUAGGGUGCAAGCGUUAAUCGGAAUUACUGGGCGUAAAGCGUGCGCAGGCGGUUGUGCAAGACAGAUGUGAAAUCCCCGGGCUCAACCUGGGAACUGCAUUGGUGACUGCAAGGCUAGAGUGUGUCAGAGGGGGGUGGAAUUCCACGUGUAGCAGUGAAAUGCGUAGAGAUGUGGAGGAACACCGAUGGCGAAGGCAACCCCCUGGGAUAACACUGACGCUCAUGCACGAAAGCGUGGGGAGCAAACAGG